RNAcentral lists this ribosomal RNA (525 nucleotides) under Salmonella enterica subsp. enterica serovar Mississippi. RNAcentral describes it as "partial 23S ribosomal RNA". It matches the Rfam family "Bacterial large subunit ribosomal RNA", at positions 667 to 1190 of the family's 2925-position model. The record is from RNAcentral. Lineage: Bacteria; Pseudomonadati; Pseudomonadota; Gammaproteobacteria; Enterobacterales; Enterobacteriaceae.
CGCAGGGAAACCGAGUCUUAAUUGGGCGUUAAGUUGCAGGGUAUAGACCCGAAACCCGGUGAUCUAGCCAUGGGCAGGUUGAAGGUUGGGUAACACUAACUGGAGGACCGAACCGACUAAUGUUGAAAAAUUAGCGGAUGACCUGUGGCUGGGGGUGAAAGGCCAAUCAAACCGGGAGAUAGCUGGUUCUCCCCGAAAGCUAUUUAGGUAGCGCCUCGUGAAUUCAUCUCCGGGGGUAGAGCACUGUUUCGGCUAGGGGGCCAUCCCGGCUUACCAACCCGAUGCAAACUGCGAAUACCGGAGAAUGUUAUCACGGGAGACACACGGCGGGUGCUAACGUCCGUCGUGAAGAGGGAAACAACCCAGACCGCCAGCUAAGGUCCCAAAGUCAUGGUUAAGUGGGAAACGAUGUGGGAAGGCCCAGACAGCCAGGAUGUUGGCUUAGAAGCAGCCAUCAUUUAAAGAAAGCGUAAUAGCUCACUGGUCGAGUCGGCCUGCGCGGAAGAUGUAACGGGGCUAAACCAU